Long non-coding RNA from Paramormyrops kingsleyae, 2428 nucleotides. RefSeq lists it as uncharacterized. The record is from RefSeq and is a predicted model, not a curated record. NCBI's taxonomy places the organism in Eukaryota, Metazoa, Chordata, Actinopteri, Osteoglossiformes, Mormyridae.
CGGGGGUGGUACAUAGCUCCCCUCUCCCAAGUGAUAAACAUGUAUUCCAUAACCUAGAUAAUAGACGAUUUUAAGAUUGAAUUAAAAAAAAAUCCACUGGGGUCCAUAGUCCAUGCUAAAUGGUGUACAUGUUGUGUGUUUGUCAUUUCAGCCAUAUACACAGUACACAGUGAAACGCAACAUUGUUCCUCCAGGACCAUGGUACAACACAAAGAACAAGAGAACAAAAACAACACAAGACUACACAAGUGCAGGCAGCACAGAACUCUACAGAGUGCAGUGAGAGCAAAGAGACAGAGUGCAAGCACAUGGAUAUAUAAAAUGACAGUCUGGGACAUGGUGUUGAUCCCAUCCAGCGUGUCCCCCAGCUUCAUGCUCUAUGCUGCCGAGGACAGCCCACCCCCCCCCGCCAGGAUAUGUGGCCACCCUGCAGCUAUUUCUCCACAUUUGUGAGAAGGCUGCCCAUGCUUCAUAGCAUCGAAUGAGAGUCGGCGAGUGCCGCAGUCUUCAGACACUACGCAUGUUUUUGUCCCCCUGCCCCAAGCUGCCACUUGGUCCCACUUUGCCCUCAGUCAUCCUCCUGCGAACCGUCUGGCUCCAGCCAAUUAAUCUAGGGGUGGCAGAACUAAUUAUGCAUUGAUGCCAAGGCUCUUGCAUUUGCGUCAGACACAACUGCAAGGUUCUUUGAGACAAAAUAUCGUUCCUCAUUGGUUAUAGUGCGAUAUAUACAAGACAUAUAAACAUGAGCCAUAUUCAGACAUGACAGAAUUCAGACACAGAAAUCCAGACACAGAAUUCAAGGCGUAAGUCAGUAAAAUAUAGUUAAUAACAGAUGGCACGAGUGUGCAAUCGGACAAUGGGAUCGAAUGAAAAAGUAGGAGGAAUGUGCAUUAAAUAGACAAAAUUGAUUUUAGUUUGCAGAGUAUCAUCUUUAUCCAUUAGUGCAGUGGGUCUCUGCUUCCUCAUUGGAUGUAGAAUAGGCAAUGUGUGAAAUGCAUUACAGUUGGAUUUUGCAGUAUGAUACUCUGCAGUGCCUUGAUUCAGUUAUUUCUGCCCUUCUGUCAUUCUGCGUGAGGAAAAUACUGACGCAGUGAUUAUCGCUCCAUUGAAUCACUUGACCAGGAUAAUAAAAGAAAUGGGAAGUGAUUUCAAUAGCUGGACUGGCAUAAUCUUCUGAGUUAGCCAUGAUAGCAUUAGCGUUCUGCCAUCUACGGCAGCAAGGGUGCAGUGCUCAAGUGCAGUUACCUUCAGGGUCACGUUAUGCAGUGGCCUGCUUCCUGAAGGUAAUGACUGUUUUAUUUCGGGUCAGGGGGGUAUAUGAGAGGUAUGUAGCAUUUUGUACCUGUAGCUUGUGUCAUGAAGCAGAUCAGUCCUCUUUAACCUUGUACCUCAGCACUAAUGAUGACACCGUGCCGCAUGAGACACUCCUUGUAGACGCGCUCCCAUUCCCAGCCUCUGGAUGUUAGCCAGCUCUAGUUCCUCUUAGUGAUUUGUGUAAUACUUCACCUUUGCAUAUCAAGAUCUGUAAUCGUACUUACCGUCUGCAAUGAUAUAUUAGUCCGGCACAGCUUAUGUAUUCAGCUCAUAUACUCCCACAGUCCUGGUAAGAACACGAUGGGCGGCAUCUUCUGAGGCAGCGCCAACUUAGCAAUCAAAGUUAGGCGGAUAUGCAUGUAUGCGUCUGAGACGAAGUGAAGUUUGCCUUGGGUGGCACAGGCUUCCACCAGCACAGGUGCUCACAGUAAUCAUCAUUUUACCCGCUAAUUAUACCUUCUUCGUAUUUGAAAGAAUUCCGAAAGAGUAGCCAGUCAAUUCAAGUCGAUAACAGCUCAAAUGUGGCCCCCAGCUCUGUGUGUGUUUGCAUCUUCCCCUGGUGUCCUUCAGGAUUUGCUCUGACUAUUACAGUCAUCCCAAAAUCCAGAGUUGUGGUUUAGGUGGAUUUGUGAGUCUAAAUUGGCUUUUGCCCUGUGGAUCACCUUCCCCUAUAGAGCGUGCCUGAGAUUGGCGUGCUGCAAUCAUGCACAGUAAGCAAUAAAUAGAAAUGAAUGUGUCUAAUGCACCUUCUUAUGGGCUGUAAAGCUGCACGUAUUCCUCACGUAGCAUUCGCUACAUCAUAUUUGGUUCAGUAGACAAAAUGAAAAGAAUGAAUACAGUUAUUGACACGGGUGGAAGCUAAAUUCACAAGUAGAGGAUCAACGUGAAAAUAAUUACGCUAACUGUGAAUUGGUUACAGCUAAUGCUGGCUACAGGCAGCCAUAAUCGGCGGUUUAAGAACAAUUUGGUUUCAAACUGUUUUUGGCAAAGUUGUCAUUUCCUUAUCUUUUAGAUGUAUUUGGGCUCACUCUCUCAUUUUAAUGGCAAAACUUGCCUAGUAUAUAUAGGAUUUUUUUUUUACUAAUUGCACUAUUAUAUAUUAAAUAAAUUUAUC